This 62-nucleotide microRNA precursor is filed under the name Drosophila mojavensis. Its description in RNAcentral is "Dmo-Novel-13_pre stem-loop". Lineage: Eukaryota; Metazoa; Arthropoda; Insecta; Diptera; Drosophilidae. The record is from RNAcentral.
AAUGAAACUUGGCAUAGAUGCUGCUAAUUGCUGCAGUCAGCAUAUAUGUUGAAGUUGGUUGG